AGAGUUUGAUCCUGGCUCAGGAUGAACGCUAGCUACAGGCUUAACACAUGCAAGUCGAGGGGCAGCAUGAACUUAGCUUGCUAAGUUUGAUGGCGACCGGCGCACGGGUGAGUAACACGUAUCCAACCUGCCGAUGACUCGGGGAUAGCCUUUCGAAAGAAAGAUUAAUACCCGAUGGCAUAGUUCUUCCGCAUGGUGGAACUAUUAAAGAACUUCGGUCAUCGAUGGGGAUGCGUUCCAUUAGGUUGUUGGCGGGGUAACGGCCCACCAAGCCUUCGAUGGAUAGGGGUUCUGAGAGGAAGGUCCCCCACAUUGGAACUGAGACACGGUCCAAACUCCUACGGGAGGCAGCAGUGAGGAAUAUUGGUCAAUGGACGAGAGUCUGAACCAGCCAAGUAGCGUGAAGGAUGACUGCCCUAUGGGUUGUAAACUUCUUUUAUACGGGAAUAAAGUGAGGCACGUGUGCCUUUUUGUAUGUACCGUAUGAAUAAGGAUCGGCUAACUCCGUGCCAGCAGCCGCGGUAAUACGGAGGAUCCGAGCGUUAUCCGGAUUUAUUGGGUUUAAAGGGAGCGUAGGCGGACGCUUAAGUCAGUUGUGAAAGUUUGCGGCUCAACCGUAAAAUUGCAGUUGAUACUGGGUGUCUUGAGUACAGUAGAGGCAGGCGGAAUUCGUGGUGUAGCGGUGAAAUGCUUAGAUAUCACGAAGAACUCCGAUUGCGAAGGCAGCCUGCUGGACUGUAACUGACGCUGAUGCUCGAAAGUGUGGGUAUCAAACAGGAUUAGAUACCCUGGUAGU
RNAcentral lists this ribosomal RNA (796 nucleotides) under uncultured bacterium. RNAcentral describes it as "bacterial SSU rRNA". It matches the Rfam family "Bacterial small subunit ribosomal RNA", at positions 8 to 794 of the family's 1533-position model. The record is from RNAcentral.